Molecule: ribosomal RNA, 314 nt
Filed under: uncultured bacterium
Lineage: Bacteria
Description: bacterial SSU rRNA
Rfam family: Bacterial small subunit ribosomal RNA
Source: RNAcentral
UUAAGGUUUAACCCAAGCCCAACGGUAAUGGGUUGGGGGCCAAUUCUAAAAGGGAGAACUGCCCGGUUGAACAAAACCGGGAAGGGAAAGGUGGGGGAUGAACGUCAAGUCAUCAUGGGCCCUUAACGGGCCCUGGGGCUACAACAACGUGCUACAAUGGUUCGGUACAAAGGGUUGCCAAGCCGCGAGGUGGAGCUAAUCCCAUAAAACCGAUCGUAGUCCGGAUCGCAGUCUGCAACUCGACUGCGUGAAGUCGGAAUCGCUAGUAAUCGUGAAUCAGAAUGCCACGGUGAAUACGUUCCCGGGCCUUGUAC